This is a small nuclear RNA of Suncus etruscus (white-toothed pygmy shrew), 164 nucleotides long. RefSeq annotates it as U1 spliceosomal RNA. Lineage: Eukaryota; Metazoa; Chordata; Mammalia; Eulipotyphla; Soricidae. The record is from RefSeq and is a predicted model, not a curated record. The transcript has a single exon.
AUACUUACCUGGCAGGGGCGAUUCCAUAGCAGGAAGGUGAUUUCCCCAGGGGUGAGGCUCACCCAUUGCACUCUGGUGUCCUGACCCCUGCGAUUUCCCCAAAUUUGGGGAAACUCGACUGCAUAAUUUAUGGUAGUGGGGGACUGCGUUCGUGCUCUCCCCUA